RNAcentral lists this small RNA (75 nucleotides) under Xanthomonas citri pv. aurantifolii. RNAcentral describes it as "sX9". It matches the Rfam family "Xanthomonas sRNA sX9". Lineage: Bacteria; Pseudomonadati; Pseudomonadota; Gammaproteobacteria; Lysobacterales; Lysobacteraceae. The record is from RNAcentral. RNAcentral also lists the same sequence under 1 other name.
CUGGACCAGGCGGACACAGCGGUUGCUUGCGCCGUCCGCGUUCACCUGGCGAUUGCUCGCGACAUUUUGUUAGCC